This 239-nucleotide unclassified non-coding RNA is filed under the name uncultured fungus. RNAcentral's name for it is "partial contains 5.8S ribosomal RNA, internal transcribed spacer 2, and large subunit ribosomal RNA". The record is from RNAcentral. Lineage: Eukaryota; Fungi.
AACGCACAUUGCGCCCUCUGGCAUUCCGGAGGGCACACCUGUUCGAGCGCCGUCGCAACAUUGAGGCCCAGCCUUGCGUUGGCGGACGACUCCCUCGCGAGUCGCCGCCCAAACUCCGACGGCGCCGCACCGCGGCCGACGAUGCGCGAAAUGCAAAGUCGGGCGCGAGAGGGCGGCGGCCUUGUUUCACCGAAUCAAAGCUUGGCCUCGAAUCAGGUGGGGAUACCCGCUGAACUUAA